Molecule: ribosomal RNA, 502 nt
Filed under: uncultured Glomeromycotina
Lineage: Eukaryota; Fungi; Glomeromycota
Description: partial small subunit ribosomal RNA
Rfam family: Eukaryotic small subunit ribosomal RNA
Source: RNAcentral
CCAAUAGCGUAUAUUAAAGUUGUUGCAGUUAAAAAGCUCGUAGUUGAAUUUCGGGGUUUAUCCGUCGGUCGGGCUUUUGGGUCUGUACUGGCGUGAUAGAUUCCUACCUUCUGAAUAACCGGCAUGUCAUUAAUUUGGUGCGCCGGGGAAGCAGGACUGUUACCUUGAAAAAAUUAGAGUGCUUAACGCAGGCUUAUGCCUGAAUACAUUAGCAUGGAAUAAUGAAAUAGGACGGAAUGGUUCUAUUUUGUUGGUUUCUAGGAUCACCGUAAUGAUUAAUAGGGAUAGUUGGGGGCAUUAGUAUUCAAUUGUCAGAGGUGAAAUUCUUGGAUUUAUUGAAGACUAACUUCUGCGAAAGCAUUUGCCAAGGAUGUUUUCAUUAAUCAAGAACGAAAGUUAGGGGAUCGAAGACGAUCAGAUACCGUCGUAGUCUUAACCAUAAACUAUGCCGACUAGGGAUCGGACGAUGUUAAUUUUUUAAUGACUCGUUCGGCGCCUUACG